CCCGCCGGCGACCGGCGCACGGGUGAGUAACACGUAUGCAACCUGGCCGCCACAGGGGGAUAACCCGCGGAAACGCGGCCUAAUACCCCGUGACGCCACCGGAGGGCAUCCUCCGGUGGCCAAAGGAGCGAUCCGGUGGCGGAUGGGCAUGCGGCGCAUUAGCUAGACGGCGGGGUGACGGCCCACCGUGGCGACGAUGCGUAGGGGUUCUGAGAGGAAGGUCCCCCACACUGGUACUGAGACACGGCCCAAACUCCUACGGGAGGCAGCAG
RNAcentral lists this ribosomal RNA (272 nucleotides) under uncultured bacterium. RNAcentral's name for it is "partial 16S ribosomal RNA". It matches the Rfam family "Bacterial small subunit ribosomal RNA", at positions 84 to 354 of the family's 1533-position model. The record is from RNAcentral.